This 209-nucleotide long non-coding RNA is filed under the name Fukomys damarensis (Damara mole-rat). Its description in RNAcentral is "lncRNA (ENSFDAG00000025381.1)". Lineage: Eukaryota; Metazoa; Chordata; Mammalia; Rodentia; Bathyergidae. The record is from RNAcentral.
CACUGCUGGACAGUGGUCUGCGUCUCUAGUUCGUGACAAGUGGCACCCCAAUAGGGACCUGAAUGAAGCCGCGAUUGGUGAGCAAUCAGUGAAGCCUGCUGUUAAAGGGUUCAGCUGAACCGAAACAAGGACCCCGCUGUCUGGAACGCCCGGCAGGGAAAAUCCUCGGAGAAGCAGAUAGCACAGAGAGGCCAAAAAGGAAGGAGAGG